GCCUUGGAAGCGCAGUCAGAGAUAGAGCAGCGGUUUCCUAAACCGCAGGUCGGGUGUUCGAGUCACCCCGGGAUCG
Molecule: transfer RNA, 76 nt
Filed under: Planctomycetota bacterium
Lineage: Bacteria; Pseudomonadati; Planctomycetota
Description: Planctomycetes bacterium tRNA-Arg
Rfam family: tRNA (bases 7-69)
About the family: Transfer RNA (tRNA) molecules are approximately 80 nucleotides in length. Their secondary structure includes four short double-helical elements and three loops (D, anti-codon, and T loops). Further hydrogen bonds mediate the characteristic L-shaped molecular structure. tRNAs have two regions of fundamental functional importance: the anti-codon, which is responsible for specific mRNA codon recognition, and the 3' end, to which the tRNAs corresponding amino acid is attached (by aminoacyl-tRNA synthetases). tRNAs cope with the degeneracy of the genetic code in two manners: having more than one tRNA (with a specific anti-codon) for a particular amino acid; and 'wobble' base-pairing, i.e. permitting non-standard base-pairing at the 3rd anti-codon position.
Source: RNAcentral